Molecule: transfer RNA, 99 nt
Filed under: Xylaria bambusicola
Lineage: Eukaryota; Fungi; Ascomycota; Sordariomycetes; Xylariales; Xylariaceae
Description: tRNA-Ile
Rfam family: tRNA
About the family: Transfer RNA (tRNA) molecules are approximately 80 nucleotides in length. Their secondary structure includes four short double-helical elements and three loops (D, anti-codon, and T loops). Further hydrogen bonds mediate the characteristic L-shaped molecular structure. tRNAs have two regions of fundamental functional importance: the anti-codon, which is responsible for specific mRNA codon recognition, and the 3' end, to which the tRNAs corresponding amino acid is attached (by aminoacyl-tRNA synthetases). tRNAs cope with the degeneracy of the genetic code in two manners: having more than one tRNA (with a specific anti-codon) for a particular amino acid; and 'wobble' base-pairing, i.e. permitting non-standard base-pairing at the 3rd anti-codon position.
Source: RNAcentral
GGUCCCAUAGCUCAGUUGGUUAGAGCGUCGUACUAAUAUUAUAAGUCUCUUAUAACAUUAGUGAUGCGAAGGUCGUGAGUUCGACCCUCACUGGGACCA